AUUAGAACCUUCCUUGAGCUUGGAUUGGAAGGGUUCUAGCUCUCGUUUGGAGCUUAGGAGAGGAUUUUUACUCAUUAGGUAAGUUUUAGCCCUUUUGCUAUAUUUGUUAAUGUUUGAUCUUAUAGAUGGUCGUAAUGCCCGUGUAUCUUGUCGCUCAAUGCUUUUAGGGUAUUUUGAGACUCGGGGACAACUUUGUUCGGCGAAUCGAGACCCUACGCGACGGUUCGGUGGGUUUGA
This 237-nucleotide long non-coding RNA is filed under the name Ananas comosus (pineapple). Its description in RNAcentral is "long non-coding RNA (ACOM_LNC043339)". The record is from RNAcentral. Lineage: Eukaryota; Viridiplantae; Streptophyta; Magnoliopsida; Poales; Bromeliaceae.